UACGAAGGGAGCUAGCGUUGUUCGGAAUUACUGGGCGUAAAGCGCGCGUAGGCGGACCUGCAAGUCGGGGGUGAAAGCCCGAGGCUCAACCUCGGAACUGCCUUCGAUACUGCGGGUCUCGAGUCCGGGAGAGGUGAGUGGAAUUCCUAGUGUAGAGGUGAAAUUCGUAGAUAUUAGGAAGAACACCAGUGGCGAAGGCGGCUCACUGGCCCGGUACUGACGCUGAGGCGCGAAAGCGUGGGGAGCAAACAGG
This 253-nucleotide ribosomal RNA is filed under the name uncultured bacterium. RNAcentral describes it as "partial 16S ribosomal RNA". It matches the Rfam family "Bacterial small subunit ribosomal RNA", at positions 524 to 776 of the family's 1533-position model. The record is from RNAcentral.